RNAcentral lists this long non-coding RNA (200 nucleotides) under Vigna radiata. Its description in RNAcentral is "long non-coding RNA (VRAD_LNC009627)". Lineage: Eukaryota; Viridiplantae; Streptophyta; Magnoliopsida; Fabales; Fabaceae. The record is from RNAcentral.
UAUGUUUUUUCUUUUCGUUCCACAUAUGGUUAAUUCUUUCAAACUCUGAAAUGAAACAUCGUUUUUUGUAGGAAACAAGGCAAAUUUGAGAAAAAAUUACGGAACUAGGCAAAAAAAAUUUUAAGUAGGUUAAAUUUAUUAUAAGUAAAAAAUUUAAAAAAGAAAUUAAAAAUUAAAAAAAGGUAAAAGGGUGUGAGGGG